ACCACCCGGCCAGCCGGCCAGGAGCCUGCGGAGCCUCCCGGGUCCCCGCGCCGGAGAGGGGCUGGGGGGCAGGCGGCCGGGCGGACCUGGCGGGCGCCGAGGGCGGCCGCGGGCGUCAGCAUGCAGGCGCGGCGGCGCGCGUGAGGAGGAUGCGGCAGCGGGCGCCGCGGCGGGCGGAGGAGUAGGCGGCGGUGCCCUGGGGAGGCAGCCGCGCGCGGGCCAGACGGCUCCCGGAGGCUCCGCAGUGCCACCGCCGUCGCCCGGGAGGCUCCGCGCGGGAGCCAUGUAACCUGCGGCGGGCUCCGGGCUGCUCCGUCCUCGCCCCAGCUCCCCGGCCGGCGCGGCAGCGGGGCCACGAUGAAGAAGCAGUUCAAUCGCAUGCGCCAGCUGGCCAACCAGACGGUGGGCAGGGCAGAAAAGACUGAAGUUCUGAGUGAAGACCUUCUUCAGGUGGAGAAACGCCUGGAGCUGGUGAAGCAAGUCUCCCACAGCACGCACAAGAAGCUCACCGCAUGUCUCCAGGGCCAGCAAGGGGCCGAGGCUGACAAGCGCUCUAAAAAGUUGCCUUUGACAACACUGGCUCAGUGUUUGAUGGAGGGGUCAGCUAUCCUGGGAGAUGACACGCUUCUCGGGAAGAUGCUGAAACUCUGUGGAGAGACCGAGGACAAGCUGGCCCAGGAGCUGAUCCACUUCGAGCUGCAGGUGGAGAGAGACGUGAUUGAGCCCCUGUUUUUGCUGGCCGAGGUGGAAAUCCCAAAUAUUCAGAAGCAGAGGAAACAUUUAGCAAAGUUGGUGUUGGAUAUGGAUUCGUCACGAACAAGGUGGCAGCAGACGUCGAAGUCUUUAGGUUUGUCCGGCAGCUUGCAGCCCGCAGGUGCCAAAGCUGACGCCCUCAGGGAAGAGAUGGACGAGGCCGCCAACCGAGUGGAGAUUUGCAGGGACCAGCUCUCGGCGGACAUGUACAGUUUUGUGGCCAAAGAAAUCGACUAUGCAAACUACUUUCAAACGCUAAUAGAAGUACAGGCGGAAUACCACAGGAAGUCCCUGACGCUCCUGCAGGCUGUGCUGCCCCAGAUAAAGGCACAGCAGGAGGCCUGGGUAGAGAAGCCUUCCUUCGGGAAGCCCCUGGAGGAGCACCUCAUGAUCAGCGGCCGGGAGAUCGCCUUCCCCAUUGAGGCCUGUGUGACGAUGCUGCUGGAAUGUGGAAUGCAGGAGGAGGGACUCUUCCGGGUGGCGCCGUCUGCCUCCAAGUUGAAGAAGCUAAAAGCCGCCCUGGACUGCUGUGUGGUCGAUGUGCAGGAGUACUCAGCAGACCCCCAUGCAAUUGCAGGAGCUUUGAAAUCUUACCUCCGAGAGUUGCCAGAACCUCUUAUGACCUUUGAACUCUAUGACGAGUGGAUUCAGGCUUCCAAUAUUCAGGAGCAAGACAAGAGGCUUCAGGCGCUGUGGAAUGCUUGUGAAAAAUUGCCCAAGGCCAAUCACAACAACAUCCGAUACUUGAUCAAAUUUUUAUCCAAGCUAUCAGAAUAUCAAGAUGUGAACAAGAUGACUCCCAGCAACAUGGCAAUUGUGUUAGGCCCCAACUUGCUGUGGCCACAAGCAGAAGGGAACAUCACGGAGAUGAUGACCACGGUUUCACUGCAGAUUGUCGGGAUUGUCGAACCCAUCAUCCAGCAUGCAGACUGGUUCUUCCCUGGAGAGAUAGAGUUCAACAUCACAGGGAAUUAUGGGAGUCCGGUACACGUGAACCACAACGCCAACUAUAGCUCAAUGCCCUCCCCAGACAUGGACCCCACUGACCGUCGCCAGCCCGAGCAGAUCCGCCGGCCCCUCAGCGUCGCCACGGAUAAUAUGAUGCUGGAGUUUUACAAAAAGGAUGGCAUGGGCGUGCGGGUCAUGGACACGUCCUGGGUGGCCCGAAGAGGCUCCUCGGCCGGCAGGAAGGCGUCCUGCGCCCCGCCCACCAUGCAGCCCCCCGCGCCGCCCGCCGAGCUGGCUGCCGCGCCUCUGCCUUCGCCGCUCCCGGAGCAGCCCCCGGACGGCCCCGCGGUGGCGGCGGCGGUGGCGGCCCCCUCGCUUUCGCCGUCAGGCUUGGGGCUCCAGCCCGGGGUGGAGCGCACCAGCGCUUCGAAAAGCAAGGAGCUUUCUCCUGGAUCUGGGCAGAAAGGAAGUCCAGGCUCCAGCCAGGGGACUCCCUGUACGGGGACCCAGCCGGGGACCCAGCCAGGCGCCAGCCCCAGCCAGCCGCCCCCAGACCAGAGCCCUCACACUCUUCGGAAAGUUUCCAAGAAGCUGGCACCUAUCCCGCCCAAGGUCCCCUUCGGCCAGCCGGGGGCCGUGGCUGACCAGUCUGCCGGCCAGCCGUCCCCGCUCAGCCUGUCCCCCACGCCCCCGAGCACCCCCUCGCCCUACGGACUGAGUUACCCUCAGGGGUACUCCCUGGCCUCUGGCCAGCUCUCCCCGGCCGCCGCGGCCCCUGCCCUGGCCUCCCCCGCCGGCUUCACGAGCGCCGCGGCCAAGUCUCGGCCCACCCCCAAGCCCCGACAGAGACCCACGCUGCCGCCCCCUCAGCCUCCUACGGUCAGCCUGCCGGCCCCGAGUCCGCAGUCCACGGAGCACCCCGUGCUGGAUGGCGUGGCCCCCGGGGAGAGCAUGUCUACAGCCGUGUGACGGGAGGGCCGCGGUUGCGGAUGCGCGUGAGGGGGAUUUCAGGGUAAGCGGCCCCCGGGGCCACGGCGCGCCCGGCUCUGCAUGUGGCUCCGACCCGCCCGCAUGGCAGCUCCACUCCGCGCCCUCCCCGGCCUCGGGGACGCCCGCGAGCCCCUCUGGCUUUCGGGGGACCGCUGGCCUCGUGGGGUCUGGCUGGCUUCGCGCUGGGUCCCGGGGAGGAAGUCCGCAAGCAGGCUUAGCCGCUCCCCCCACCUUCUCCGCCUCCACCCCCACCCCCAGGCACCGGGCGCCCUCUCCCUGUUUUUUACGAGUGCAGGCGUGACAGCGUGGGCCUUGGCUCGGGCGGGUGUCCCGUGAGGGUCCCGCCCGGUGCUGCGGGGACAGGGUCCCCGUGGCCAUGAGGUCCCCCUGGCGGACCCCCAGUUUCCCACGGGGGCUCUAACUUGUCCUCUGGGCCGACGCAGCCGGCGAGGCCCGAAGAAUCCGCCGCGGUGGGUUCAGCCUGGGCUUGUUCGCCCCAGUGUCUGCGGCCCGGGUCCUUCCUAACUCAGGGUUUGGGAAGCAUUCCCCCCGGUUUCUGCCCGGUCUCCUCUGCCCACAGGGACUAGAUGCUCAAAAGUAAAAGCGAGGAAAGCCGCUGUUCUGGUCUCAGUAAGAAGGGGCGGCUCUUCCCCCCCCCCAGCCCCCCCCCCGGGGGCCAGCCCUCCGUGGAAGCUGCCAGGCCCUUGGUCCUGUGGAGACUGGGGACAGGCACAGCACGAGGGUGUCCUGGGCCCUCCUCCUCCCCCGCCCCGGGUCUCCUAACAGAUGCUUCUGAGGCUGUCUCCCCUCCCCGGCAGUCGGUGGGGGCUCCUGUCCUCCACCCCCGUCCUGCCCCCCGCCAGUGGGCUGCCUUCCCUCCGGGCUCUCAGGGAACAGUCGGGUCAGCAGCCAGCCUGUGAUUCCACAGCCACACCCACAAGGUGACGGGACGGGCUUUCGAAUCUGGACAGAAGGCUGCAGGGUAGAUGUCCCCAGACGGGGCCACGAGGCAUCCCCGGAGGCAGGGGGAGCUGAGCCUGGGGCCCCCUCUCAGUAGGAUGAAGACGGGUUGGAAGGACGCUUUGAGGACCGUUUGGGGGGCAGGGUGACAAACAGAAGGACGUUUGUCCCAGAGCUUCCAUGUUUGUAUGUCCGAAUGUCUGUCUGUCCUUGGGCUGAAUGUUGGUUUCAAAAAAUACCUUAAAGAGCCCCCCCAUCCUCCCUCCCCCACCCUGGAGGCUGGCCCAGGGCCACCCCUUCUAGGAACACGUCCCUGUCCUCCAGGCCCAGGUUGAAGGCAAGGCUGUGCGGGGCCAGAAAGGAAGCUGGCUAAGGGGGGUGAGGGGGGGCGGAGCACCCCCAGGGCCUUGGUUCUGCCCCGCCCCCCGGCCACCCCCUGGGUCCACCACCUCCCGUGUGCACCUAGCUACCUAGCUACCGGCUCUGAGGAACCGCCUGGGCUUGGGGCCCGCAGAGGCCCUGAGUUCCGCAUGCUGAGCCCGGUCUCCUCGGGCACAGUCUUCCUGAUCGGCUCCCAGAAGGCAUGAUCUUUCAGUGCCCGCAGUAAGGACGUACCGGGAGAUCUCGUCCACUUUGACAUCCCCUCCAUCCACGUAGAGCUCGGGCCGCCGCUCCGCCUGAGCCCCCUGGAGCACGCGCGGCGACACUCGGUGACGGAGAAGAGGGACUCGGAGGAGGAGUCUGAGAGCACCGCCCUCUG
This is an RNA transcript of Prionailurus viverrinus (fishing cat), 4411 nucleotides long. It is a transcript of the gene named Rho GTPase activating protein 44, with no coding region annotated. NCBI's taxonomy places the organism in Eukaryota, Metazoa, Chordata, Mammalia, Carnivora, Felidae. The record is from RefSeq and is a predicted model, not a curated record. The transcript is spliced from 21 exons.